CUACGGGGGGCUGCAGUGAGGAAUAUUGGUCAAUGGGCGCGAGCCUGAACCAGCCAUCCCGCGUGCAGGAUGACGGCCCUAUGGGUUGUAAACUGCUUUUCUAUGCCAAGAAACCUGAUUACGUGUAAUCAGUUGCCGGUAGCAUAGGAAUAAGCAUCGGCUAACUCCGUGCCAGCAGCCGCGGUAAUACGGAGGAUGCAAGCGUUAUCCGGAUUCAUUGGGUUUAAAGGGUGCGCAGGUGGGCUGGUAAGUCAGUGGUGAAAUGCUGCCGCUUAACGGUAGAACUGCCAUUGAUACUGCGAGUCUUGAGUAUGGUUGAGGUAGGCGGAAUGUGUUGUGUAGCGGUGAAAUGCAUAGAUAUGACACAGAACGCCAAUUGCGAAGGCAGCUUACUAAGCCAUUACUGACGCUGAGGCACGAAAGCGUGGGGAGCGAACAGGAUUAGAUACCCCCGUAGUC
RNAcentral lists this ribosomal RNA (459 nucleotides) under uncultured bacterium. Its description in RNAcentral is "partial 16S ribosomal RNA". It matches the Rfam family "Bacterial small subunit ribosomal RNA", at positions 339 to 795 of the family's 1533-position model. The record is from RNAcentral.